AUUGAACGCUGGCGGCAUGCCUUACACAUGCAAGUCGAACGGUAACGGGCCUUCGGUUGCCGACGAGUGGCGAACGGGGGAGUAAUACAUCGAAACGUGCCCGAUCGUGGGGGGUAACGAGGCGAAAGCUUUGCUAAUACCUCAUACCGUCUACUGAUGAAAGCAGGGUGGCGCAAGGCCUUACGCGGGCCUAGCUGCCGCUGGCAGAUUAGGUAGUUGGUGGGUUAAAAGCUUACCAAGCCGACGAUCUGUAGCUGGUCUGAGAGGAUGAUCAGCCACACUGGGACUGAGACACGGCCCAGACUCCUACGGGAGGCAGCAGUGGGGAAUUUUGGACAAUGGGCGCAAGCCUGAUCCAGCCAUGCCGCGUGAAGGAUGAAGGUCUUCGGGUUGUAAAAUGCUGUUGUACGGAAAGAAAAGACUUCUUUUAAUACAGGAGGGUCAUGACGGUACCGUAAGAAUAAGCACCGGCUAACUACGUG
RNAcentral lists this ribosomal RNA (482 nucleotides) under uncultured bacterium. RNAcentral describes it as "partial 16S ribosomal RNA". It matches the Rfam family "Bacterial small subunit ribosomal RNA", at positions 30 to 507 of the family's 1533-position model. The record is from RNAcentral.